This 917-nucleotide ribosomal RNA is filed under the name uncultured marine archaeon. RNAcentral's name for it is "bacterial SSU rRNA". It matches the Rfam family "Archaeal small subunit ribosomal RNA", at positions 1 to 922 of the family's 1478-position model. The record is from RNAcentral.
UUCCGGUUGAUCCUGCCGAAGGCUACUGCUAUUGGAGUUCGAUUAAGCCAUGCGAGUCUAAGGGAUCUUCGGAUCCCUGGCGUAAUGCUCAGUAACACGUGGAUAAUCUACCCUCAGGUGGGGCAUAAACCCGGGAAACUGGGGCCAAUUCCCCAUAGAUACAGAUGGCUGGAAUGCUUCUGUAUUCAAAGCUCCGGCGCCUGAGGAUGGGUCUGCGGCCUAUCAGGUUGUAGUCAGGGUCAAGACCUGACUAGCCAGCGACGGGUAUGGGGUGUGAGAGCACUUGCCCAGAGAUGGUUUCUGAGACACGAAACCAGGCCCUACGGGGCGCAGCAGGCGCGAAAACUUCGCAAUGCGGGAAACCGUGACGAGGGAACUCCAAGUGUCUAUGCAUUGCAUAGACUGUUUUUUAGCCUAAAUAGCUAUUAGAGUAAGAGGUGGGCAAGACCGGUGCCAGCCGCCGCGGUAACACCGGCACCUCGAGUGGUAGCCACUAUUAUUGGGCCUAAAGCGUUCGUAGCCGGUUUGGUAAAUUCUUGGGUAAAUCGUACCGCUUAACGGUGCGGAUUCCGGGGACACUACCAGACUUGAGACCGGGGGAGAUCAGAGGUACUUGUGGGGGAGCGGUGAAAUGUUGUAAUCCUGCAGGGACCACCAGUGGCGAAGGCGUCUGAUCAGAACGGCUCUGACGGUGAGGAACGAAACCCUGGGGCGCAAACGGGAUUAGAUACCCCGGUAGUCCAGGGCGUAAACGCUGCUGACUUGGUGUUGGGGAUCCUACGAGGAUGUCCAGUGCUGGCGCGAAGGUAUUAAGUCAGCCGCCUGGGGAGUACGGUCGCAAGACUGAAACUUAAAGGAAUUGGCGGGGGAGCACUGCAACGUGUGGAGCGUGCGGUUUAAUUGGAUUCAACGCCGGA